RNAcentral lists this long non-coding RNA (520 nucleotides) under Bemisia tabaci. RNAcentral's name for it is "lncRNA ENSSWEETPG011781". The record is from RNAcentral. Lineage: Eukaryota; Metazoa; Arthropoda; Insecta; Hemiptera; Aleyrodidae.
UCUGAAAGGUCUCAAGGGCUUCUCUUGAUUCAACUGUCCCUUUUGUGCAGUGAUGUAGUCUUAGCUAACUUCAGUGAUUUUCAAAUUGAUAUUAAAAUCUUUCGAUCUCCUUUUCAUCACCAAAAUGAGAGGUUUAAAAUAUCGAUCAACAUUUUUUUGUGUUCCUGUGUUUUCUUGGCCUUCAUUAAUUACCUCAUUGAUGGUGCCUCUUCAAGCCAGAUACGAAAAUCUACUUUUUGUGGAAGUUUAACAUGUCCAGCCAAUAAAAAAUUCAAAUUUUCAACAAAUUAUCGAUAUCAUUACAAGUACUCCGUUGAUGUUGCUACUGAGUUUGCUGGCAUUGGAAAAAAUGCCUCUUCCUUCCAGUUCGAAUUAGAGUUGGAGUUACUCUGGAAAUCUUCAUGCGCAGGUCAGCUACAGGUAAGCUGAAUGUCAAGACUAAAAAAACCAUGCUCAAUUCCCUCCCGAAUAAUUUGUUGAAAAAUUAGUUGAGUAUGACCAGAGCAAAUUCUUCAAUAAG